UGGUUUAAACAGUUUUAUGUACUGUUUGUUUACCCUAUAUGUUAUUACUUGCAGGUAAUGACAAGCAUGUAUUUAUCUAUAAGCCACUAAUUUGCUGCCACUUUGCCAAGACGACUUGAUACUUUUCCAUAUCUGAUUGGGAGAUGCUGACCAGAAUUUUAAGAGCUGGGCUGGAGCAGUGCAAUGGGCUCAAUACUGUGGGAACUUUAUUCUCUCUGAGGAUACUAGGUGGCACAUGAAUUGAGAAAUGAGGAUCGAGGGACCAAAUCUGGCCUGGUCAGUAAGAGUAGUCUUACAUCCCAGAACUAUGAACAUGCAAUAUAUGGACAAGGUUCUACAGUUAUGCUACAGGCAAGGUAGCAUUAUGUGAUGGAAAAAUAAAUAAAGAUUGAAGUCUGAAGACAAGCUUCCAAUUUCAGCUCUGCCAUUUCCUAGGCCAGGAAGAAAGCAUGAGUCCACUGGCAAGUUUUGUGAGGCAUGGAUGUUUGGGCUGUGAAGUGAUCAACUACUCUAGGGGCGGUUCUCAAACUUGAAGAUGUCCCCGGAUCACCUGAGCAAUCUAUUACCUAUCACUCUCCAGACUCUCAAUGGGGAUUCAGAUUCCCAACUGUAGUGAAGCCCAGAAGAUUCACAAGGUGAUUCUGAUGCAGGAGGUCUGCAAACCACAUUUCCAGAAACCCUGACUUUGAAUCAAACAUUUACAAAUGAAUAAAAAGAACGAUUUUACUUGA
This is a long non-coding RNA of Pan troglodytes (chimpanzee), 731 nucleotides long. RefSeq lists it as uncharacterized. NCBI's taxonomy places the organism in Eukaryota, Metazoa, Chordata, Mammalia, Primates, Hominidae. The record is from RefSeq and is a predicted model, not a curated record. The transcript has 4 exons.